This is a long non-coding RNA of Panicum virgatum (switchgrass), 1327 nucleotides long. RefSeq lists it as uncharacterized. The record is from RefSeq and is a predicted model, not a curated record. NCBI's taxonomy places the organism in Eukaryota, Viridiplantae, Streptophyta, Magnoliopsida, Poales, Poaceae. The transcript has 2 exons.
UCCUUAGCUGCAGCCCACUGCCUUCCCGUCGCUCGCCCAACAUGAAUCGCUGCAGCGCCCCUCGAGGCCUCCAACCCCUCCUGCAUCGCCACUUCCCAACGCGCACGCCCAGCCCGCGGUCCCGCGCCCCUGCUGCUGCCGCGCCUCGCGACCUCCCCUCCCCUCCCCUCCCCACCAACGGAGCAGUGCGCACCGCCCCGUUCGCUGGUCGAUUCGCCGCGGCUGUCGCCCGCGCGGCCAAGCCCAGGCCGUGAUGAAGAUCUCCACACCGGUUCGUCGAAAAAAAAGAUCUCCGCGCCGAACUGCACCUGCCCGCUGCCCAGGGAGCAUAACGAGAACAGACCGCCGCUGCCACUCCCCGGCCAAGUUUCCGGCCCCCACGGUACAUCCGCACCGCGAGUAAGAAGGAAUACAUUUCGAGAACUUCCAAGAGCAAGAGUUUGAAGAAUCUGAGCAGUACGAAGCUCAACGGAUCUCAAAAAUAAGCAUUCUUCAGUGAAUUAAUCAUGUCUAACAGUCAAAGCAAAUGAAUGGGGGUGAUACAAGGCCAUAUACGUGUAACGUGGGCAUGAAAUCUCUGCUGAAAUGCUUUCUAGCUGAGCAACUAAAUUAAAAAUGGCUAAUAAUUUUAGCCAAAACAAAUGACAAAGUCUGAUACAUUCCUUCGAAUGGAAUGUCAGGAACAGCUGGUUCCGAUUUAUUUGUCGCUCACAAGGGGGCUGUAAAUAGGGUACCACAUUUUGCGAGCAACGUAGUCCACCGUUUCCGACUGUCAACAACGCGAUAAACUUAGUUCAGACACUGCCAUAGCCUUGAACUAUAGAAUGUGACAUUAAUUUCUGUGUAGAUGGUACCUCUGACAUGCUCCCAAGCUCCCUAGGACCCACAUCGCAGCACCCCUCAGCAAGGUCUUCAGCGACAGCGGCACGGACGACUGCUGCGCCGACCUGUGCAGUGAUGUGCCUGAUACUGCAGUGUUUGAUGGAUACGCCAGUCAACCGUUAGUCGAAAAUGGACAUGGAGUUCAUAUUACAAUGAGUAUAGUAAGAAAUGGGAUGGAUGUGCCAGCAUGCCGUAGCUGAUGAAGCUAACCUGGAGACUGAAGGGAAGAGGAUUCCUUUUCGAAUUUCAUCAUCUGUGAUGUAUGAUGCCAGGCUGCAUUGCAAAAAUAAGCAGAUGCUUAUCUAGGUUAUUGAUCCACAAGAAAAAGAAAAGAAUGGUUCGAAUCAGAUUAGACGUUUGUGGAACCAGUGUAAUUGAUAUCUUAUGCCAAUGGAACUUCAGCAAAGCUAAAUGCGGGGGCACCUAAUCUGGUGGGCCAACUAUA